UACGUAGGGUGCGAGCGUUGUCCGGAAUUACUGGGCGUAAAGAGCUCGUAGGUGGUUUGUCGCGUUGUUCGUGAAAACUCACAACUCAAUUGUGGGCGUGCGGGCGAUACGGGCAGACUGGAGUACUGCAGGGGAGACUGGAAUUCCUGGUGUAGCGGUGGAAUGCGCAGAUAUCAGGAGGAACACCGGUGGCGAAGGCGGUUCUCUGGGCCUUACCUGACGCUGAGGAGCGAAAGCAUGGGGAGCAAACAGG
Molecule: ribosomal RNA, 253 nt
Filed under: uncultured bacterium
Lineage: Bacteria
Description: partial 16S ribosomal RNA
Rfam family: Bacterial small subunit ribosomal RNA
Source: RNAcentral